This 346-nucleotide unclassified non-coding RNA is filed under the name uncultured fungus. RNAcentral's name for it is "partial contains small subunit ribosomal RNA, internal transcribed spacer 1, and 5.8S ribosomal RNA". The stretch from base 1 to 73 matches the Rfam family "Eukaryotic small subunit ribosomal RNA", at positions 1759 to 1831 of the family's 1831-position model. The record is from RNAcentral. Lineage: Eukaryota; Fungi.
GCAAACUUGGUCAUUUAGAGGAAGUAAAAGUCGUAACAAGGUUUCCGUAGGUGAACCUGCGGAAGGAUCAUUACAAAUCCAUCACGUCAUCCUCAUGACAAUGUUGAACUGUUCCCGCCUUUGUGCAGCAGCAGUGUCACCUGCGUUCGUUCCUCCGUGUGCUAUAUAAUAAUACACACGGGGGAUGUCGUGGUGUGCUGUUGCCGCAUAUGAGGAAACACCCUCUUUCAAACCAGUGUGACUCAACCUUCACGAGCGAUGGCUCUCUAAACACAUAACACAACGAAACCUAGAAACAACUUAUAACAAUGGAUCUCUAGGCUCUUGCAUCGAUGAAGAACGCAGC